GCCUGUGUAGCUCAGUGGAUAGAGCGUUGGCCUGCAAACUGAAAGGUCCCAGGUUUGAUUCUGGUCAAGGGCA
This 73-nucleotide transfer RNA is filed under the name Myotis brandtii (Brandt's bat). It matches the Rfam family "tRNA". From Rfam's summary of the family: Transfer RNA (tRNA) molecules are approximately 80 nucleotides in length. Their secondary structure includes four short double-helical elements and three loops (D, anti-codon, and T loops). Lineage: Eukaryota; Metazoa; Chordata; Mammalia; Chiroptera; Vespertilionidae. The record is from Rfam by way of RNAcentral.